CAGCCGCCGCGGUAAUGCGAAGGGGGCUAGCGUUGUUCGGAUUUACUGGGCGUAAAGGGCGCGUAGGCGGACUGAUAAGUCAGGGGUGAAAUCCCAAGGCUCAACCUUGGAACUGCCUUUGAUACUGUUUGUCUUGAGUUCGAGAGAGGUAAGUGGUACUGCGAGUGUAGAGGUGAAAUUCGUAGAUAUUCGCAAGAACACCAGUGGCGAAGGCGGCUUACUGGCUCGAAACUGACGCUGAGGCGCGAAAGCGUGGGGAGCAAACAGGAUUAGAUACCCCUGUAGUCCCUGUCUCUUAUAA
This 301-nucleotide ribosomal RNA is filed under the name uncultured bacterium. Its description in RNAcentral is "partial 16S ribosomal RNA". It matches the Rfam family "Bacterial small subunit ribosomal RNA", at positions 509 to 809 of the family's 1533-position model. The record is from RNAcentral.